GCACAAUCGCUUGCCCUUUAAUUGGGGGCCUGUAUGANUGGACACACGAGGGUUCUACUGUCUCAUUUAAACCCAUAAAAAUUAUCCUUUAGGUGAAGAGACCUAAAUAAAAUAGCAAGACAAAAAGACCCUGCAGAGCUUUAUUCCAAAAUUAACACGGCACAAUACCAAUUAUAGCUAAAGUGAACUAAUUUAGAAUUUGGUUGGGGCGACAAAGGACCACCUAAAACGUCCUUUUACUUAAAAGACUCAUUUCGUCUCUAAACGACUCAUUAGACACCUUGUUUAAGAAGCAUCAGCUACCUCAGGGAUAACAGGCUAAUAUCCCCUCAAGAGCCCAAAUCGACAGGGGAGUUUGGCACCUCGAUGUUGGCUUAGGGAACCCAACCUGGUGCAGAAGCUAGGUUGGGUGGUUUGUUCAACCAAUAACCCCCU
This 435-nucleotide ribosomal RNA is filed under the name Aphelochaeta sp. 375 PB. RNAcentral's name for it is "partial 16S ribosomal RNA". It matches the Rfam family "Bacterial large subunit ribosomal RNA", at positions 1959 to 2597 of the family's 2925-position model. Lineage: Eukaryota; Metazoa; Annelida; Polychaeta; Terebellida; Cirratulidae. The record is from RNAcentral.